UCACUGCUUGCGCAGGCAGUCUCGCUAGAGUCCCCGGCAUUACCCGCUGGUAACUAGCGAUAGGGGUUGCGUUCGUUGCGGGACUUAACCCAACAUCUCACGACACGAACUGACGACAGCCAUGCAGCACCUCACCAGGAGCCCUUACGGGAAGUCCCCUUUCAGGGACGGUCCCCUGGUGUUCGAGCCUGGGUAAGGUUCUUCGCGUUGCAUCGAAUUAAGCCACAUGCUCCACCGCUUGUGCGGGCCCCCGUCAAUUCCUUUGAGUUUCACCCUUGCGAGCGUACUCCCCAGGUGGGAUGCUUAACGCGUUAGCUGAGGCACUGCCGCUCAAGCGCGGCAACACCGAGCAUCCAUCGUUUACAGCGUGGACUAC
RNAcentral lists this unclassified non-coding RNA (376 nucleotides) under uncultured Bacteroidota bacterium. RNAcentral's name for it is "uncultured Bacteroidetes bacterium contains 16S-23S intergenic spacer region". The record is from RNAcentral. Lineage: Bacteria; Pseudomonadati; Bacteroidota.